AGGGUAAUAGCUCUGUGGUAGAGCACAUGCCUCGCAUGCAUGAGGUUCUGAUAUCAAUCCCCAGUCCCUCCA
Molecule: transfer RNA, 72 nt
Filed under: Camelus bactrianus (Bactrian camel)
Lineage: Eukaryota; Metazoa; Chordata; Mammalia; Artiodactyla; Camelidae
Also listed under: 1 other name
Rfam family: tRNA
About the family: Transfer RNA (tRNA) molecules are approximately 80 nucleotides in length. Their secondary structure includes four short double-helical elements and three loops (D, anti-codon, and T loops). Further hydrogen bonds mediate the characteristic L-shaped molecular structure. tRNAs have two regions of fundamental functional importance: the anti-codon, which is responsible for specific mRNA codon recognition, and the 3' end, to which the tRNAs corresponding amino acid is attached (by aminoacyl-tRNA synthetases). tRNAs cope with the degeneracy of the genetic code in two manners: having more than one tRNA (with a specific anti-codon) for a particular amino acid; and 'wobble' base-pairing, i.e. permitting non-standard base-pairing at the 3rd anti-codon position.
Source: Rfam by way of RNAcentral